Long non-coding RNA from Magnolia sinica, 2027 nucleotides. RefSeq lists it as uncharacterized. The record is from RefSeq and is a predicted model, not a curated record. NCBI's taxonomy places the organism in Eukaryota, Viridiplantae, Streptophyta, Magnoliopsida, Magnoliales, Magnoliaceae. The transcript has 2 exons.
GCAAACUAAAUAAAUGCCUAUGAAUAUUGAAAAACAUCUAUCUAUGAUAAAUUUUGUUCUUAAAAUUCUGUUUGUAUUUGUAUAUUUACUGGUUGCUCCAAAAAAUUCUGAUUUUGAGGCUGUGACUUAACGACAGUAACUUCUACAUACACUGAGUUAAUCUGGGUUGCUUUAGUUUCUAAUUUUGAUUGUGCUGAGAGAAGAUAGGAAUAAGGAUGGAUUUUAUUUUAAUUGAAUUCUUAUACGCGACCGCCAUGCAUAUGUGCCAACAUGGCCUGCAUGUUCAAGGUGUGAGCCGCUCAUCAGGUGGGCCCAUAUGUCAGAUGCCCCAGCAUCAGAAUUGGGCAAUUCAAUCACCAGGUGAGAUGUAACAUGUGCUAAAUAUGGUGGACGCCCUUUCAUGUCUCUUCUGGCGGUUGGAUUUGCCCAACUUUUUUGCUAAGGCACCUGCAUGGUAGGAGCCCACCUGAUGAGUGGCUUGUAUGUUUGCACAUGUACAUGUGAUCACGCAUGUCGUCUUGACUCUUAAUGCAUAUGGCACAUUUCAAUUUCUCUAAUAAGGUAUGUAGUUUUGUAUGAUUGCUUGCCAUUGACUCUUGAUGCACAUGACCCAUUUCAGUUUCUUUAAUAAGGUAUAUGUAGUAUUGUAUGAUUGCUUGCUAGAGCAAAGAGCAAAACAACUUUUUUAGCUAUGUUGUUGGGCCCACCUUUAUGUGUUCCAGAGGUGUUCUAUGAUUGCUUGGCAGAUGAAAGAGCAAACCAAUAUUUUUCCUUGGUUGUGGGGCCCACCUUUAUGUGAUCCAGACCAUUUAUGAGGUUUUUUAUGAUUGCUUGGCAGAGCAAGGAGCAAAACAUUGUUCUUUUUUUUUGUGGGUCAUGUACUGGUAAAAGAACAUAUAGUCAACAGUUAGAUCCUUUCCACCGAGGUUUUAAGACUCAGACAAGUCCCAUGCAACUCGUCCAAGUUGACUCAGAUUCAGUCGGACCUAGUCUGGUUCGACACUACAAUUAGAACUAAAAAUAAGGGGUGACUUAGAUGGAGUCAUAUGUCCACCAGGUCUAUUUUUGUUUAUGAAUUGCCAUAGAAAAUGUGUAGGGUGCUUAAUUUAGCAACAUGAGUUAGUGCAUAGACUAGAUGUGAUGUACAUUCUUCUGGUCAGAAGACUUUAUGGCACAAAUCCUUGAGGUCAUUACAUAUUCUCAAUAUAAGGUGUCGAGAUGUUGAUUCUUUCUUCAGUUUUUGUCCAUGCAUGCAUGCUUCUGCGAAUAGUCUUUGACUAGGUUUGUAGGUCCAAUCUCGGUUUUUGUAGUCACCAGAGUUAGUCUGAUGGUAACUGAUCCAGUUUUGGCAUGCUCAUGGUACAGAUGAGAAACUGUAAAACCACAGGGUCUCUCCUAUUCUAGUGCUAGAUGCUAACACAGAGGAUCAGGGCAAGAUCACCUCUACAAUGAUUGAUCUCAACUCAAGGCCAAACCGGAUUCAUGGGCAACCUUCAAAUACACAGGGGAUGAAUGCUUUAAGCGAUAGCCAUCAUGAGUGUGCAAGUGUAGUUCCAGUGGGAUCUUGCAAUCAAGAUCUAGAGAAGUAAGCAAGGUAGAUUCUAUUCUUCUCAUUUAUGCUAGUUCAUUGGUCUUUUUGUUUAACCAUUUCUUGGUUAAAGGAAAAAAAAGAAGAUAAGGAGCCUGACUCCUUUGGCCUUCUGAGUUUUGGAUGUCCUAAAAAAGAAAAAGAUUAGAGUUGUUUAGACUAAUCAUGGGUUAACAUCUAUAAACCAAUGCCAUGGUGCAUGGGGUGUUUUUUUUUUUUUUUUUUUUUUAAAUUUAUUUAUUUAUUUAAAGCAGGAGUGCAUGGGACUGAAAUGUACAAUGCAUCUCUUGAAUUUUUGGGGGAAUGCAUGGGAACUGUUAUACAUGUUUUGUUGAGUUCUUUUGAAAUGCUUCAUUUUGUAUGGUAAAACUUUCUUUAAAAUGAUGCUGAGUUAAGAAAAAAGGAAAGAAAAAGGAUUGUGAGUUAUGAUUUCUUGAGA